CGUGUAGGCGGCCAGGUAGGUGGGUUGUGAAAACUGGAGGCUCAACCUUCAGACGUCGACCCAAACCCCCUGGCUAGAGUCCGGAAGAGGAGAGUGGAAUUCCUGGUGUAGCGGUGAAAUGCGCAGAUAUCAGGAAGAACACCCGUGGCGAAGGCGGCUCUCUGGGACGGUACUGACGCUGAGACGCGAAAGCGGUGGGGAGCGAACA
RNAcentral lists this ribosomal RNA (208 nucleotides) under uncultured bacterium. Its description in RNAcentral is "partial 16S ribosomal RNA". It matches the Rfam family "Bacterial small subunit ribosomal RNA", at positions 568 to 774 of the family's 1533-position model. The record is from RNAcentral.